GCAGUCGUGCGGGGAAAAGUAGCUUGCUACUUAACUUAGCGGCGGACGGGUGAGUAAUACUUAGGAAUCUGCCUAUUAGUGGGGGACAACAUUUCGAAAGGAAUGCUAAUACCGCAUACGUCCUACGGGAGAAAGCAGGGGAUCACUUGUGACCUUGCGCUAAUAGAUGAGCCUAAGUCGGAUUAGCUAGUUGGUGGGGUAAAGGCCUACCAAGGCGACGAUCUGUAGCGGGUCUGAGAGGAUGAUCCGCCACACUGGGACUGAGACACGGCCCAGACUCCUACGGGAGGCAGCAGUGGGGAAUAUUGGACAAUGGGGGGAACCCUGAUCCAGCCAUGCCGCGUGUGUGAAGAAGGCCUUUUGGUUGUAAAGCACUUUAAGCGAGGAGGAGGCUACUCUAGUUAAUACCUAGAGAUAGUGGACGUUACUCGCAGAAUAAGCACCGGCUAACUCUGUGCCAGCAGCCGCGGUAAUACAGAGGGUGCGAGCGUUAAUCGGAUUUACUGGGCGUAAAGCGUGCGUAGGUGGCCAAUUAAGUCAAAUGUGAAAUCCCCGAGCUUAACUUGGGAAUUGCAUUCGAUACUGGUUGGCUAGAGUAUGGGAGAGGAUGGUAGAAUUCCAGGUGUAGCGGUGAAACGCGUAGAGAUCUGGAGGAAUACCGAUGGCGAAGGCAGCCAUCUGGCCUAAUACUGACACUGAGGUACGAAAGCAUGGGGAGCAAACAGGAUUAGAUACCCCUGGUAGUCCAUGCCGUAAACGAUGUCUACUAGCCGUUGGGGUCUUUGAGACUUUAGUGGCGCAGCUAACGCGAUAGUUAGACCGCCUGGGGAGUCCGUCGCAAGACUAAAACUCAAAUGAAUUGACGG
RNAcentral lists this ribosomal RNA (866 nucleotides) under uncultured Acinetobacter sp. RNAcentral describes it as "bacterial SSU rRNA". It matches the Rfam family "Bacterial small subunit ribosomal RNA", at positions 57 to 916 of the family's 1533-position model. The record is from RNAcentral. Lineage: Bacteria; Pseudomonadati; Pseudomonadota; Gammaproteobacteria; Moraxellales; Moraxellaceae.